CUGAUCAAGUCCAAAGUAAGUCAAUAAAACAAACUUGGGUAUUAUUCCAUUAACGCUGAGACGGGCAUACCCUACAGAAUACUAUAGGGUGCAAUAUGCGUUCAAAGACUCAAUGAUUCACUGGAUCUGCAAUUCACAUUAAUUAUCACAUUUCGCUGUGUUCUUCAUCGAUGCAGGAGCCAAGAGAUCCGUUGUUGAAAGUUUUAUAAUCAAUUUCUCUUACUCAAUCAGACUUUC
This 237-nucleotide unclassified non-coding RNA is filed under the name uncultured Peziza. RNAcentral's name for it is "sequence contains ITS2". Lineage: Eukaryota; Fungi; Ascomycota; Pezizomycetes; Pezizales; Pezizaceae. The record is from RNAcentral.